This 92-nucleotide small RNA is filed under the name Salmonella bongori. RNAcentral's name for it is "sroE RNA". It matches the Rfam family "sroE RNA". Rfam says of the family: This family consists of a number of bacterial sroE RNA genes of around 90 bases in length. sroE is found in several Enterobacterial species but its function is unknown. Lineage: Bacteria; Pseudomonadati; Pseudomonadota; Gammaproteobacteria; Enterobacterales; Enterobacteriaceae. The record is from RNAcentral.
AUAACGUGAUGGGAAGUAACCGCCUUCCCGUGUAUGAUUGAACCCGCAUGGCUCCCGCAUGGUUUGGGGAAGCGCUGAGGGUUCAUUUUUAU